This 347-nucleotide ribosomal RNA is filed under the name Hyalopterus pruni. RNAcentral's name for it is "partial 12S ribosomal RNA". Lineage: Eukaryota; Metazoa; Arthropoda; Insecta; Hemiptera; Aphididae. The record is from RNAcentral.
AACCAGGAUUAGAUACCCUAUUAUAAAAAUUUAAAUUAAUUUACUAAAAAAUUAAUAGUUAUGUUCUUUAAAUUUAAAAAAUUUGGCGGUAUUUUAGUCUUAUUAGAGGAAUCUGUUUAUUAAUUGAUAAUCCACGAUUAAUUUUACUUAUUUUAAUUAAUUCAUAUAUCGCUGUCAUGAAUAUAUUUUAAAAAAUUUAUUUUCUUUAAUUAUUUUAAUAAUUUAUGUUAAGUCAAGAUGUGGUUUAUAAAUAAGAAUAUAAUGGAUUACAUUAAAUUUUAUUUUUGGAUUUUGAAUGAAAAUUAAAAUGAAAUUGGAUUUAAUAGUAAGUUUAAUUAUUUUAUAAU